CCUACGGGUGGCUGCAGUGGGGAAUAUUGCACAAUGGGCGCAAGCCUGAUGCAGCCAUGCCGCGUGUGUGAAGAAGGCCUUCGGGUUGUAAAGCACUUUCAGCGGGGAGGAAGGCGUUAAGGUUAAUAACCUUGUCGAUUGACGUUACCCGCAGAAGAAGCACCGGCUAACUCCGUGCCAGCAGCCGCGGUAAUACGGAGGGUGCAAGCGUUAAUCGGAAUUACUGGGCGUAAAGCGCACGCAGGCGGUCUGUCAAGUCGGAUGUGAAAUCCCCGGGCUCAACCUGGGAACUGCAUUCGAAACUGGCAGGCUAGAGUCUUGUAGAGGGGGGUAGAAUUCCAGGUGUAGCGGUGAAAUGCGUAGAGAUCUGGAGGAAUACCGGUGGCGAAGGCGGCCCCCUGGACAAAGACUGACGCUCAGGUGCGAAAGCGUGGGGAGCAAGCAGGAUUAGAUACCCCAGUAGUC
RNAcentral lists this ribosomal RNA (465 nucleotides) under uncultured Klebsiella sp. RNAcentral describes it as "bacterial SSU rRNA". It matches the Rfam family "Bacterial small subunit ribosomal RNA", at positions 338 to 795 of the family's 1533-position model. The record is from RNAcentral. Lineage: Bacteria; Pseudomonadati; Pseudomonadota; Gammaproteobacteria; Enterobacterales; Enterobacteriaceae.